GGGUAUAUAAAAAAGGUAAGUGACGUCAUAGUCGGCAAAUGUUUCGAUAAAAUAAAGUUUUGUCUAUUCAGUCGUGAAUAGUCUAUUCAAAGCUAGCGGAACACAUUUCUGUCUCUCUCUCGUGCGCAACAAAAACACUUAAAUUAUUCAGGUACAUUAAAAUGGACAAAAAGGAAGCUGAGCGAAUUUACACACUCACAAAGAAUCCUCACAAAUUGCUAAAAGAUAAAAUAGCGACUGACCAGAUUCGCAAAUUCAAAGAGAGCCAUGUUUUGGGUGACAGUAAGCUCUUAAACAACACCGAAAUUUAUGAGAAAUGUGAAACCCUGCUACAAGAAACGAAUGUACCUCUAACAAGGGACGCAUUCCGGGAUUUGUUACAAUUGGGAAUUGGACAGAAGGAGAGAAAAGCGCUUCAGCAGUCUGUGGAUGGCGAACGGACCAAAAGUAAUCUCAUCAUUCAGGAAAUCCAAGAAAGCUGUGUUAAUAAGAUUGUCAUCCUGACGGAAUUUAAUGAAUUUACUGAUUAUAUGCUUUCAAAAUCCAAAUAACAUACAUAUGUAAUUGUAAAAUUGUUAAAUAUUAAUCAGCAAAAAGCUAAAUUAAAUAUAAAAGUUAUAGAAUCUACGUACUGUGCAGCAUAUUGUCAUUGCAUGGAACAGGGCUGCCAAAAUCAUCGUUGAUAAAACUUAUAAGGUAAAAUUGAUUAAGGCGAAUU
Molecule: long non-coding RNA, 718 nt
Organism: Drosophila innubila
Lineage: Eukaryota; Metazoa; Arthropoda; Insecta; Diptera; Drosophilidae
Exons: 2
Source: RefSeq, a predicted model, not a curated record